Molecule: long non-coding RNA, 810 nt
Filed under: Mytilus galloprovincialis (Mediterranean mussel)
Lineage: Eukaryota; Metazoa; Mollusca; Bivalvia; Mytilida; Mytilidae
Source: RNAcentral
CCUUGAACGCAAAUUGCGGUAGUCACAAGUGAAUCGAAAACCGUGUUUUUUACUUUAUUUAUACAAUGACUUUGUGUCAGGAAAUUUGGACUGAAUGAUUUCCAAAGCGCAAGAAUUGUAGAACAAAUUGGUACAAAAAAAACAUGACUGGAUUAAAGAAAUUGACACAAUAUUGACCGUAUAUUGAGAACAAAAAGUCGACAAACACGCAUUUUAAUUAUAACAAGCCCUUAUAUUUACCGUGGCUGUUGUUUUUGUUGACAAACAGCAAACACUUUCUGUAACUGUCCCAAUACCUCAAUUUAGUCAUUAAACAACAACUACUUUUUGAUUUAGUUCAUGUUUUACAUCAUAAUUACUUUCAACACUGAGUUUAAAUUUUAUUCUGUACUCAUAAUACUUGUGUUGCAUACAAUUGUACCAAUACAUUUUAUUGAUUUUAUGGGGACUACAAACCAUUGCUUAGAAAGCAAAAUAAAUUUGGUGUAGGUAUAGUCCAACUGAAGAGAGCAUUUCUCUUCUUUUUGAUGUAUACUAUAAAUAGGUUUCUUUAAAGCGUAAAUUACAUGUAUAACAGUGGUUGCCAAUCAGGGAUUUUUAUUUAAGAGUUUAAAAAAUAGUGUAGGAUUCCUUAUACAGCAUGUAUAUGCAUAUACAACUUGUUUUCCACUAGCAUAUACUCUGCGGUAUGAAGAACUCGUGACGAGGGUUUUCAUAUGAAAUAAAAUUUAAAAAAUAAAAUCCUCCCACCCGCCCCAUUUUUUUCAAAAAUUUGGAUGAAAAUCUACUAAUUAAUUUUAGUUGGCCUAA